GCAAGCAGCAUGGGAGAGACUCCAGCAACAAACGGCACACAGACAGAGACUCCAGCAUCAGACAACACAGCAGACCCAGCAUCAGAGUCAACACCUCCGCUCCCCUGUAAUGUGGCUAUUGCAGAUAAAGCAGCAAGCAGCAUGGGAGAGACUCCAGCAACAAACGGCACACAGACAGAGACUCCAGCAUCAGACAACACAGCAGACCCGGCAUCAGAGUCAACACCUCCGCUCCCCCCUGAGUCUGAAACUCUUUUACUUACUCCUGCAUCUUCCUCCUUAACUUCUCCUAUUUCUUUCACAACCUCCUUGUCCUCACCUAUGUCGUUAUCCGUUGCUCCUCAAGUCUCCCCCCUGACUCAGCCUGUUUUCAAGUUCUCUCAACCCAGUCGUAUAUCUUCUUCCCUGGCUUCUCCUCUGCCACCAGCCUCUACCCUUUCUGCCGCUUCUAAACUCACUGCUGUGCCCACUGAGCUAGGUAGUCCAGACUCAGUAUCUUCCUCAGGAAAAAAAAGACAAAUAAAGAGGAAAGCAGAACCUAGAGAAUGCCCCAUUCAUAAAGACUCCACCAGUUUCCCCUACCAAAAAAUUUUGAGGAAAAGAAUCAGGGAGGUUUGGAAAAAUAAAAAAACUAUUUAAGUACUGAUAAAAGUAAUAUUAAUAAAAAAAAAAGAAUAACAAUAACAAUACUAAUUUGCUAUUUUUUGUAGUGUAAUUACAAUGCGUCUAUGGGGAAAAAAGAAAAAUAACAAAUUUUUCGAAAUUGAGACUUAUACAUCAUCUGAAACCUGAAUAAAUAAUCUUUCUAUUGAUGUAUGGUUUGUAUGGACAAUGUUUGGUCGAGAUGCAACUGCUUUGAAAUUCUGGAAUCUGAGUGAGCAAAAAAUAAAAAUAAUUGAGAAAAUCACCUUUAAAGUUGUCCAAAUGAAGUCCUUAGCAACACAUUUUACUAAUUUACACCAUUGAUUUAACCGCGGUAAUGACGUUGUGGAGAGUAGAUGAAACCGAAAGUGGAAAUUCGAAGCUUUACAUCGAUACCAAACUUGACUGGGUAAUUCCCAAAGAUUGGGCAGCCGUGAGCCAAGUUUCUAGGCAUGUUUCCGGCCAUUUUUUCUCCCGCGAUUUUGCGGCAUCCACUCACAAAAAAUUUACAGUUGGAAAUUUACAAAAUAUCUUCAUGGAACAUGAUCUUUACUUAAUAUCCUAAUGAUUUUUAGCAUAAAAGAGAAAUGGAUCAUUUUGACCCAUACAAUGUAUUUUUGGCUAUUGCUACAAAUAUACCCCAGCGACUUAAGACUGGUUUUGUGCUCCAGGGUCACAUAUAAUAAAUUAAUGUUUAGGUAUUCAUAACAUUCAUGUUAUCACAAAUUUUAAUUCAAGUUUUACUGCACAAUUUAAGUUUAGCAAAUUUAAAAAAUUUUCAAUAGCGGUUGUAGUUUGACAAAAAUAAAAACUGAAGUUCCGUAUUUUUCAAAAUUGAAUUGAUAAUAUAGUAAUUAUGCUAAUAUUAUUGCUCUGGCCUCAUUGACACUAUUAUACGAGAACUCAACAGAGCUAGAUGAUGACAUCAAUGUUGUCAACAGAGAUGUUGUACAAAUAAAAUUAACUAAAUUUAUAACUGAGGAUUAACAAGUGAACUGAAUGUACUGAAUCACUAUUGGACAAUGUUAAAAUUGACAAACAAUGCAUAAUAUUCCUGUUGGCACUGUAAAGCUGCUUUGAAAAAAUCUGUAUUGUAAAAAGUGCUAUAUAAAUAAAGGUGACUUGACUUAAUAAUUAAAAAUUAAAGUUUUAUUAUGUUUCUAAUGUUAGACUUAGUCCCAUUGACUUUUAAUUUCACUUUGUUUAUUUCACCUGGAUUUUGUUAUAUUUACCGUUCAUCUGAUAUAUGAUUGUAGCUUUUUGUGUAGAAGGAAAAUGUAAUUAAUUUCACCAUGUUUCUUUCUGUUUUGUUUUUUUUCUAAGGGCCAUGUGGAGGUUUUGGUGCAGUGGCAUCCUUGCUCUGGAUGUGGGAUGAAGUGGAAAAACUCCUGGGAGCCACAAGAAAAUAUUCAAAGUUCAUCCUGAAGAUGUGUGUGUUCCAAUGUAUUGUUUGUUGUUAGGUUGCAUCGUUGUUGCAGAGACUGAAAUCAGAUUUUGUUUUUCAGUGUUAUUGCACAUCAGUUCAGAUUUAUUCCUGUGUUCUGUAACUGCUUUGUAAAGUAUGUUGCCUCAGUUUUCUGUGUUUGG
Onychostoma macrolepis is the source of this 2229-nucleotide RNA transcript. RefSeq lists it as uncharacterized. The transcript is spliced from 4 exons. The record is from RefSeq and is a predicted model, not a curated record. NCBI's taxonomy places the organism in Eukaryota, Metazoa, Chordata, Actinopteri, Cypriniformes, Cyprinidae.